This 253-nucleotide ribosomal RNA is filed under the name uncultured bacterium. Its description in RNAcentral is "partial 16S ribosomal RNA". It matches the Rfam family "Bacterial small subunit ribosomal RNA", at positions 524 to 776 of the family's 1533-position model. The record is from RNAcentral.
UACGUAGGGGGCAAGCGUUGUCCGGAUUUAUUGGGCGUAAAGAGCGUGUAGGCGGCCAUACAGGUCAGCUGUGAAAACUCGAGGCUCAACCUCGAGACGUCGGUUGAAACCGUAUGGCUAGAGUCCGGAAGAGGAGUGUGGAAUUCCCGGUGUAGCGGUGAAAUGCGCAGAUAUCGGGAAGAACACCCGUGGCGAAGGCGGCGCUCUGGGACGGUACUGACGCUGAGGCGCGAAAGCGUGGGGAGCGAACGGG